This 557-nucleotide ribosomal RNA is filed under the name uncultured Aurantimonadaceae bacterium. Its description in RNAcentral is "bacterial SSU rRNA". It matches the Rfam family "Bacterial small subunit ribosomal RNA", at positions 102 to 694 of the family's 1533-position model. The record is from RNAcentral. Lineage: Bacteria; Pseudomonadati; Pseudomonadota; Alphaproteobacteria; Hyphomicrobiales; Aurantimonadaceae.
ACGGGUGAGUAACGCGUGGGAAUCUACCCUUUGGUUCGGGAUAGCUCCGGGAAACUGGAAUUAAUACCGUAUGUGCCCUGAGGGGCAAAGAUUUAUCGCCAAAGGAUGAGCCCGCGUUGGAUUAGCUAGUUGGUGGGGUAAAGGCCUACCAAGGCGACGAUCCAUAGCUGGUCUAAGAGGAUGAUCAGCCACAUUGGGACUGAGACACGGCCCAAACUCCUACGGGAGGCAGCAGUGGGGAAUAUUGGACAAUGGGCGCAAGCCUGAUCCAGCCAUGCCGCGUGAGUGAUGAAGGUCUUAGGAUUGUAAAGCUCUUUCACCGGGGACGAUAAUGACGGUACCCGGAGAAGAAGCCCCGGCUAACUUCGUGCCAGCAGCCGCGGUAAUACGAAGGGGGCUAGCGUUGUUCGGAAUUACUGGGCGUAAAGCGCACGUAGGCGGACAUUUAAGUCAGGGGUGAAAUCCCGGGGCUCAACCCCGGAACGGCCUUUGAUACUGGGUGUCUUGAGUUCGGAAGAGGUGAGUGGAAUUGCGAGUGUAGAGGUGAAAUUCGUAGA